RNAcentral lists this ribosomal RNA (811 nucleotides) under uncultured archaeon. Its description in RNAcentral is "bacterial SSU rRNA". It matches the Rfam family "Archaeal small subunit ribosomal RNA", at positions 85 to 879 of the family's 1478-position model. The record is from RNAcentral.
ACGGCUCAGUAACACGUGGCUAAUCUGCCCUUGGGACCGGAACACCCCCGGGAAACUGGGGCUAAUUCUCGAUAGGUGAAGAACUCUGGAAUGAGUCUUUGCCAAAAAGACGUUUACGUUAUGCUCGUAGACGUCGCCCAAGGAUGAGGCCGCGACCGAUCAGGUUGUUGGUGAGGUAAUGGCUCACCAAGCCUUUUACCGGUGCGGGCCGUGAGAGCGGGAGCCCGGAGAUGGGCACUGAGACAAGGGCCCAGGCCCUACGGGGCGCAGCAGUCGCGAAAACUUUGCAAUACACGAAAGUGUGACAGGGCUAUCCCGAGUGCCAUCCGCUGAGGAAGGCUUUUACCCAGUCUAGAACGCUGGGGGAAUAAGGAGAGGGCAAGUCUGGUGUCAGCCGCCGCGGUAAUACCAGCUCUCCGAGUGGUGUGGAUGUUUAUUGGGCCUAAAGCAUCCGUAGCUGGCUAAGUUAGUCCCUUGUUAAAUCCACCGAAUUAAUCGUUGGAUUGCGGGGGAUACUGCUUGGCUAGGGGACGAGAGAGGCAGACGGUAUUUCCGGGGUAGGGGUGAAAUCCUAUAAUCCCGGGAAGACCACCAGUGGCGAAGGCUGUCUGCUAGAACGCGCCCGACGGUGAGGGAUGAAAGCUGGGGGAGCGAACCGGAUUAGAUACCCGGGUAGUCCCAGCUGUAAACGAUGCAGGCUAGGUGUUUGGACGGCCACGUGCCGUUCUAGUGCCGCAGGGAAGCUGUUAAGCCUGCCGCCUGGGGAGUACGAUCGCAAGAUUGAAACUUAAAGGAAUUGGCGGGGGAGCAC